Dermacentor andersoni is the source of this 2683-nucleotide long non-coding RNA. RefSeq lists it as uncharacterized. NCBI's taxonomy places the organism in Eukaryota, Metazoa, Arthropoda, Arachnida, Ixodida, Ixodidae. The record is from RefSeq and is a predicted model, not a curated record.
UCCAUUUUGGUUCAUUUAGUGUGACCCCACAUCAUGUUCGGAAGUCACUGUGAGCAAAAAGUGCUUCCUUAUUUGGAUACAAUUGGGUGUACCUUUGCUCCUACGUGAUGACUUUCUUGCCGGCAAACAAGAGCAUUGCAGUGCGGAAUUGUGCUUACAGAACAAGACAUUCUGCACCAUGGUCAUCACAUACACUCAAGUGGUCACGACACUGCAUGGGUGUGUAGUUGUUACCAUUCAUAUUCUUGCUGGUAAAUGCAGUCACUGUUUUACCUUCCUGUUUUAGCUUCCUGUUUUACCUUACCCGGUACCAAAUUAAGGAGAGGUCUAUGGGGGCUUAGCCCUGGGCCCCAACUUCUGACAGUUGGGGAAAGUAGGCUGUCCUAUUAGGCUCCGUUUAUUUAUCCGGCCAUGCCCAUUUUACAAGUUGUGGCCAGCAUCAGCUGCCUAUGUGAGCACUUAUUUUGCCCUUUCAGUGCCCAUAUUUUUUUCAGAUCUUAUAAAACCAGCACAACAGUUUAUUUUCGGUUAUUCUGAAGGGAAAAAAUGACAGAUAAUGGUAAAUGCACUCUUAGUAUGGCCCCCACAUUCCUAUCUUCUUUCUCUAUAUCUUGCCUAGCUUCAUUCUGACGUGCAUGCUUCCGCGAUAGCGCCGCCGUGUCAGGCAAAAUGAAAAAAAAAAAAACCUGCUAUAAAUGUACGACAGAUGGCAGAAACUUGCAAGAGUGGCCCAUGCACUACGGCGCAAAUGGACAAUUGCAGCAGUGCACAAAGUCCGGGAGCCGCCUCUCCAAUGGGCAGGUGCCCACUUUGCGCACCUGCCGACGCCCACAAAGGGGCACAUUCCACAGCCCACUAACAAAAACCAAGACUGAGCAAACCCAGAGAGGUGAGAAAAUAUGUUUCUAUAAAAGCAGAUAGCGAAACUCGUAGCUCGCCAACUUCGUGUUACUGCUGUUAGGAAUGGCCUGCCAGGGUGGCAACGUGCAAGCUAUCUCAGCCCACUGCAGGUGCUUCCAUCUACCCGCGGGGGUGACGCCCUUCAGAGAACCAGCGAGGACAGCGCUAACCAACCGUGAACUUCCUUUGGAGGACUGCGGACUACGGCAGCUCUGGAAUUGAGAGGCGCCGGCUGGGUUCGAGCGUGACCACCUGGCUAUGGGGACGCAGGACAAUGGCUACCACAACGACUGCGCUGCAAAGGUCAUCGGCCCUCGGAGUGAGCAGUGAAACCCGUGCGGCAUGUGUGAGUGUAAAACCCCUACCCCGUUCUCACAAAGGCGACCACCGGGACUUUCUACGAUGACAUCGAACAAUGACGUCGAACGAUGACGUCAAACAGAGUGGUUAUAAGCGGCUGUUGUCGGCUGCUAGUGUGUGCUCGUCGUCGUGCUCUGUGUACAUCAAUGUACUCGUGAGCUGUGUGCUCGUUUGCUGUAUGUUUUGUCUUGCGGGCUCCAUUUGGGAGUCAUGCUAGACUGUGUAAAUAUAUCCCAUGUUCAACUGUAAAUAACAUGUAAAUAAAUCCUGCUCGCCUAGUCCUGUCGCCCCAAGUUCCUGCGAUCGUCCUACAAGCCCGACUCCAAAUCUUACAUCUGAAUGGCAGCGAUGAGAUCGGCCUACGGCUCGUAAAUCGGCCUAUGACUCGGAGACAGCAACGGCAGCUCACGGACUUUGGCACAUCGUGACCGUCCGGUAUCCUGAUCAAGUUGGAGGCGACUUGGGAUUGACCACCUCUUGCAACUGACUGGGUACGGCGGAGAAGGACUGGUGAUAUGGUGCUGCUUCAGUGGCGCGACGGUCGGGUUUGGUCAAACUCAAGAGGAACGUGAACGCUCGCUUUGGCGGCACGAAAUUUUGGGGCAAAAUUUGGGGUUUCCUAGUUGAGUGGCUUGCAUUGAAAUUUUGAUGGGAAGCCUGGUAGGUUAACAGCAGAUUCCGGGCGUUUGAACGCUGAGCGGUAUUGUGUUGCCGGGUCGACUCUUCUGUGCCAGUUGUGAGAUGGUUGAAGGCAUUCCAAGUGCGCAGGGGUUGCAGAGAGCAAAGCCAUCGUCUUGCUUGCCAGCCAUUCUCUUCCUGCCCAGCGGUUGUCAGCACUGGCCAGUCGAGAUUUUCCGGGCCAUGGAGGAGCUGUUAGGAAUGGCCUGCCAGGGUGGCAACGUGCAAGCUAUCUCAGCCCGCUGUAGGUGCUUCCAUCUAUCCGCGGUGGUGACGCCCUUCAGAGAACCAGUGAGGACAGCGCUAACCAACUGUGAACUUCCUUUGGAGGACUGCGGACUACGGCAGCUCUGGAAUUGAGAGGCGCCGGCUGGGUUCGGGCGUGACCACCUGGCUACGGGGACGCAGGACAAUGGCUACCACGACGACUGCGCUGCAAAGGUCAUCGGCCCUCGGAGUGAGCACUGAAACCCGUGCGGCAUGUGUGUGUGUAAAACCCCUACCCCCUUCUCACAAAGGCGACCACAGGGACUUUCUACGAUGACGUCGAACGGAGUGGUUAUAAGCGGCUGUUGUCGGCUGCUAGUGUGUGCUCGUCGUCGUGCUCGUGCUCGAAACGAACUCGUGAGCUGUGUGCUCGUUUUCUGUAUGCUUCAUCUUGCAGGCUCCAUUUGGGAGUCACGCUAGACUGUCGAUGUAUGUCUUGUUUCAACUGUAAAUAAUGUAAAUAAAUCCUGCUCGCCUA